UCCUCAACUUUAUAAUUGGAAGAACUAAUACAAUCUCAAAGUCACGAGGCACAAUGAUGAGACUUAUAAAAUUACAGUUUCUGGCAGUUCUUAUGUUGAUUUGUUACCAGGGUGGUAAACAUGAAUCCAUUAACAUCAAACCAUUUGGGUCCGUCACCAAAAAAAUGCAGUCCGCGUUGUGUUAAAACCAGUUAUGUACUCAAGUAUUGUUGUUCUGGGAUAGAAGAGAAUUACUGUUGCAGCCCGAAUGAAGCGUUAUGUAAUAAAGACUGUCCAACAUUAGAUAUUUGUUGUGUCCACAAAUAAAUGUUAUUGCUAUUAUGAUCAUAGAGUCAUCUUGCAAUAAAGAAAAUAAUAUAUAUUUAAUCAAUAUGUAGUUAUUUGACAAUACACAAAUGAUAUUCUCUUAUAAUAUACUCCAAAUCAUAAUCAUCCAUUUGUUAUAAAUUUACACCGA
RNAcentral lists this long non-coding RNA (457 nucleotides) under Helianthus annuus (common sunflower). Lineage: Eukaryota; Viridiplantae; Streptophyta; Magnoliopsida; Asterales; Asteraceae. The record is from RNAcentral.